Molecule: non-coding RNA, 1677 nt
Organism: Ceratotherium simum simum (southern white rhinoceros)
Lineage: Eukaryota; Metazoa; Chordata; Mammalia; Perissodactyla; Rhinocerotidae
Source: RefSeq, a predicted model, not a curated record
AGUGGGAGGCACUUCAGCAGACACAGGCCCAGCACACUCUUGGAAGUGUUCACAUCUGCUAGAUUCUAGAUCCAAGUCCUGUCUUCACUGGCUUCAAGAGGGGAGAGUUCAUUACCGGGAUGAAGGAGGCUCGUUUGUGGAGAUCAAAUCAAAGAGAGUUAGUCUGCCUAACUGAAGACCUCUACUGAAGAAAGUCUAGCUAACCACCUUUAAGUAUUAACUUCUCAAGGACCCAGGAAAAGGUACCUCAGUGAACCUGAAGAAGGGCCAACAGGCAGGCGAGAGUAGAGACUUUGGUCAGCGGUCUGAACUUCUGCCUGUCCACGAGACUUGGAAACAAAAGUCCCCAAACCCUGGAGCGUUGAUGGGAGAUUGUGGGGUGGGGUGGGGGAGCAGGGUGGGUACUAGGACGACGUGAAUGAGGCCAUCCUGAGAGCGAGCACCUCCUUACAUGUGACACUCUAGGUGCUUCCUGGACCUGCUCAAAAAAUGUUGGUUCUCCAGCCUUCCUUCCCAAGUUCAGUUCUACAAAUACUUCUUGAGGGCCUACCUUGUGCCAAGAGCUGUGCUGGGCAUUGGAGAUUCAUACUGAACACCAGAGGCUUCCGGCUAUGACCCCUGCUCCAAUCAUAGACCUCUCUGCUUUCCUUAUUCUGGGUCCCUCUACCUUGGGAGGACAUAGGAUCUUGGGGUCACUAAUUUGCUGCUGGGUGGCCUGGGGUGAGUUGAUUCACUCUCUGAAGCUCGUCUUCCUCAGCUGGAAGAAGAGGCUUGGACUCCUGCCUCAUAGAGUUGAAAGGAUUGAACAUCACAGUGUCUUUACGCUUGCCCAAAAGCUUAUAUACGGAAACUAUAAAGGGGGAAGCGACCACACCCCACUGUUUACCUUCUAGCUCAUAAAGUCUGCUUUUUCAGUGCUUACAGGGUUCCGUGGAUCUCAGAGUGGAAAACACUGCUUUAGGGUAGAAGCAGCUGUCAGCAGUCUUUGAGAAGUGAAUGGUUUCUAUUUCAGAAAGAAACUUUAGGCACUUGGGAGGAACAUGCCAGUGGUGAGAGACUAGGUACAAGGCAACCUGUAACCAGGUUGUUAAAUCUUCCAGGCAAAAGAAAAUAAGGAUCAGAAUUAAGGCGCUGAAGAUGUAAAGGAGAGGAUGGAAUUCAAGAUACUUAGCAGGUAGAUAGAUGGAUAGUCUGUGACAAUAUGGAGGGUGAAUGAGAAAAAAGAUUUGAGGGCGACUCCCUAGUUUCUAGUUGAGAAGCUUGGAAGUGAAGAGAAAUGUUGGGUAGAAGAUGAGAAAAAUAAUUUAAUUUAGGACGUGAUGUAAUAGAUAUAAGACGUGUAGAUAGAGCUUCUCAACUCAGCCAAGAAUGAGAGAUACUAAUCUACAGCUCAAGACACACGUGAAUAUAACUGUAUCUUUCUAUAUCGCUUCAGAUGACUCUUUAUUAUCUAGCGGUGUCUUAGGGGUCAUCAUAAUGAGGUGUUGCUUGACCAUAAAUGUAUAGGAAUGCAGGUUAGAGAGAGCUGUGUUUAAAAGAAAGCCAAAUGCAAUUUAUUUGUGAGCUGUAUUUAUUGAGAUACUACCAUGUGCCUUGCACAGCAACAGUGCACAAGGAAAAAACGGGCAAACAAAAAAUAAAGGUAAAUAAAUAAAUAAGGGAAAAAGAAAAUCCUUU